RNAcentral lists this unclassified non-coding RNA (341 nucleotides) under Hevea brasiliensis (rubber tree). Lineage: Eukaryota; Viridiplantae; Streptophyta; Magnoliopsida; Malpighiales; Euphorbiaceae. The record is from RNAcentral.
GAUGGUUCCCCCCAAAAUUGCCUGCAAAAGAACAAUUCAGUGAACUUCAAAUUCAGAUAUAUCAAAAGGAAUUUGUGGGUUACAAUGGAUAUAGCAAAGACGGGAGUGUGGCAUGGUUUAUAAGUUUCUUGAAGCAGAAACUUUGAAAGGAGCACCUGACUUUAUUUAUUACCAAAACCCAUGACUUAAGCUGACAGAUUUGAAAAAUGAAAGUUUGCAUGAAAUUUAAAAACCAUCAACCACACCAAGAAAAACUUUCAUGCAUUAGAAAUUAAAUGCUGUUCUUGAGCAAUGAAAAACAUAACAGCAAAGUUUUACCUGAGUAACACUCAAAACAGCAU